Ixodes scapularis (black-legged tick) is the source of this 84-nucleotide non-coding RNA. Lineage: Eukaryota; Metazoa; Arthropoda; Arachnida; Ixodida; Ixodidae. The record is from Rfam.
GUCAGGAUGGCCGAGCGGUCUAAGGCGCCGCGUUCAGGUCGCAGUCCGGUCUUCCGGGCGUGGGUUCGAAUCCCACUUCUGACA